Long non-coding RNA from Neoarius graeffei (lesser salmon catfish), 554 nucleotides. RefSeq lists it as uncharacterized. The transcript is spliced from 3 exons. NCBI's taxonomy places the organism in Eukaryota, Metazoa, Chordata, Actinopteri, Siluriformes, Ariidae. The record is from RefSeq and is a predicted model, not a curated record.
UUAUCCUGGUGUUACUUUCAUACCCGGUGUCUCUCAUCUCUGUUGUAUUGACUUUCAUUUCAAGGCAUGAUAUAAAAAAGGGCCAGUACGUAUACGUAGUGAUAUGUCGUUGGAUGUCCCACGCUGUCCCAUAAUGCAGUGCGAUUACCACUGCUGUUUACUGGAUGACGUCAUUUCCGUUAUAUACCUGGGUGCACGUGAAACUCCCACACCACUCGGUUGGAUCGCGACUCUCUUGUGGAUCGGCCUGCUGUUACGCUUGGACCAUUGAAACAACAUUGAGAAAAACACUGGACCACGCUACAUUUUCAUUCAUCCCUGGACAUCUGGUGUCUACCUUAGCCCUUUGUGGAGGAACCGACGUAGGGGUCACAGUGAGGCGGAUGCUGCGUAGCCUCCUGGUCAACAGCUUGGCCAGCCAAUUUAACUGGGCUGGAAAGGGGAAAAAACUGCGUUUAAGGACACCAAGAUCCAUGAUGUCCUGUUUGAUGCUCUACAAAAGCAGCUGCCAGGGAGCACACACGCUACUUUUAGUGACACAAUCAAGAAGUGGC